Molecule: ribosomal RNA, 106 nt
Organism: Ochotona princeps (American pika)
Lineage: Eukaryota; Metazoa; Chordata; Mammalia; Lagomorpha; Ochotonidae
Source: Ensembl
GUCUACUGCCAUUCCACCUGAACGCGUCCAAUCUCAUCUGAUCUCAGAAACUAAGGAGGGCCAGGCCUGGUUAGUAUCUGGGUAGGAGAAAGGAGUGCAGGGGUCU